UUGAUUAGUUGAAAUAACAUUUACAAUUUUCACAUUCUAAUCAUCCUGCAUGUACUCGACUGUACCACAUAAAGUUAAAAUGACAACAUUUCAUCUCUUAUUCCUCACACUUGUGGUCAGUGGAAGUCUGUGUCGUCAUUUGGUGAGCAGAACUAAAGAUGGGACAGAAAUUGAGCUGUUUGACUCCAGCCACAUCCAACCGUACGUUCAUCAUACUGAUGAUUACGGCCAGAAGCCUGUCCCUCUCCCUGCACCACCCAUCGCAGGAAGUCAUUAUUAUCCAAACCUGGAGAAUGAAUACUUUUAAAAGAAAAUUAUUCACAGCAGCCGCACGGUGUAUGAGUGGUGAGCAUGUUGGCCCUGGGUUUGAUUCUCCAUUUGGGCAUCUCUGUGUGGAGUUUGCAUGUUCUCCCCCGUGCGGGCGUGGGUUUUCUCCAUUGGAAUAGCAUGAGUGUGAAUGUUGUUUGUCUAUAUGUGCCAUGUGAUUGGCUGGCGACCAGUCCAGGGUGUAUGCUGCCUCUCGCCCAAAGUUACCUGGGAUAGGCUCUGGCAUACCGCCUGCAACCCUUGUGAGGAUAAGCAUGAAAAUGGAUAAUGGAUGAUUCACAGCAUGGCAGAUGCUCCUAAUCGCUUUUACUACCUUUGUUCAGCCAUUCUAUGGAUGCUGUUGUUGCUACCUGUUGUGUUCAAUA
Non-coding RNA from Doryrhamphus excisus (bluestripe pipefish), 692 nucleotides. The record is from RefSeq and is a predicted model, not a curated record. Lineage: Eukaryota; Metazoa; Chordata; Actinopteri; Syngnathiformes; Syngnathidae.